RNAcentral lists this ribosomal RNA (301 nucleotides) under uncultured Pyrobaculum sp. RNAcentral describes it as "bacterial SSU rRNA". The stretch from base 53 to 301 matches the Rfam family "Bacterial small subunit ribosomal RNA", at positions 547 to 795 of the family's 1533-position model. The record is from RNAcentral. Lineage: Archaea; Thermoproteati; Thermoproteota; Thermoprotei; Thermoproteales; Thermoproteaceae.
AUGUAACUCCUGGAGGUGAGCGGCGGUAAGAGGGUGGGGCGGAGGGUGGUGCGGAAUUAGUGGGCUGAAGGGGGGGGGAGGCGGGUCGGUAAGUCGGCUGGUAAAGUCCAGUGCGCAACCCUGGGAUGCCGGUGGGUACUGGCGGGCUAGAGAGCGGAAGAGGCGAGUGGAAUUCCCGGGGUAGCGGUGAAAUGCGCAGAUAUCGGGAGGAACACCAAUUGCGAAGGCAGCUCGCUGGGACGUAACUGACGCUGAGACGCGAAAGCGUGGGGAGCAAACAGGAUUAGAUACCCUGGUAGUC